CCUACGGGAGGCUGCAGUGAGGAAUAUUGGUCAAUGGACGAGAGUCUGAACCAGCCAAGUAGCGUGAAGGAUGACUGCCCUAUGGGUUGUAAACUUCUUUUAUAAAGGAAUAAAACGAGGCACGUGUGCCUUUUUGCAUGUACUUUAUGAAUAAGGAUCGGCUAACUCCGUGCCAGCAGCCGCGGUAAUACGGAGGAUCCGAGCGUUAUCCAGAUUUAUUGGGUUUAAAGGGAGCGUAGAUGGGUUGUUAAGUCAGUUGUGAAAGUUUGCGGCUCAACCGUAAAAUUGCAAUUGAUACUGGCAGUCUUGAGUACAGGUGAGGUAGGCGGAAUUCGUGGUGUAGCGGUGAAAUGCUUAGAUAUCACGAAGAACCCCGAUUGCGAAGGCAGCUUACUAAACUGUGACUGACAUUGAUGCUCGAAAGUGUGGGUAGCAAACAGGAUUAGAUACCCUUGUAGUC
Molecule: ribosomal RNA, 460 nt
Filed under: uncultured bacterium
Lineage: Bacteria
Description: partial 16S ribosomal RNA
Rfam family: Bacterial small subunit ribosomal RNA
Source: RNAcentral